RNAcentral lists this long non-coding RNA (815 nucleotides) under Olea europaea (common olive). Its description in RNAcentral is "long non-coding RNA (OEUR_LNC007563)". Lineage: Eukaryota; Viridiplantae; Streptophyta; Magnoliopsida; Lamiales; Oleaceae. The record is from RNAcentral.
UAAUAUAGUUGGAACCUCUUCUUUACAGUGGUAUCAAAGCUUGUAUACGGUGGUUUCUGAUGCCGGUGUUGGUAGAUCUGAAAAGUUUUGGACUCGUGCAGUAGAUUUAGCUUAUGUCUUCAAACCCUAAUUAGGGGUUCUUGGUGAGUUCGUUCCAUUUAUUUCAAUUUACAGUAUACAAUUACCUGUCUACAAUCUGUGACCCUUGCAACUGUGGUAAAACUUAUAAAUCAGAGACUUCUUGAUAGUUCCUUUGUCCAGAAACCGUGAGUUGUCUGGAAUCUGAGGGCUAUCUUGAAUAAAAGUCGAUGGUUUAACACUAAUCCUAUUAUUCUUGCAAGUAUCCUGUAUUGAUUAGUAUAAAGUAUGCUGCAAUUAUACUACUGUGACUUGCUGUGUUGCUGUUUUUGAGUAAAUUGCCUAAUAAUUGAAUGAACUGCUCACUGUUUCUGCUAAAUAACUUGUUUUAUACAACUUGCUGAUUGUACACUUUAUGUUGAUUAUUGUGUAUGACAUUUGAGACACUGCACGUUGUAAAUAGUGUUCAAAAUUCAUGUAAUCUACCUGCACUAUUAAAAAUCAAAUUGUGUUUUGAUUAUGUCAACUAAAGUUGAAUUGGAAAUCUUCAAUGGUAAAGAAGACUUCAGUCUCUAGCGCCAGAAAAUGCAAGCACUUUUACUUCAACAAUAAUGCGCUAAAGCCCUUGAUGAGUCAUGGCCAGAUGAUAUGGAAGAAACUAAGAUAACUGAACUUGAUGAAAUUGCAUGGAGUUCUAUAUUCCUGCAUCUUUCUGACAAUGUACUUAGAGAAAUAGG